RNAcentral lists this long non-coding RNA (230 nucleotides) under Phoenix dactylifera (date palm). RNAcentral describes it as "long non-coding RNA (PDAC_LNC012859)". Lineage: Eukaryota; Viridiplantae; Streptophyta; Magnoliopsida; Arecales; Arecaceae. The record is from RNAcentral.
CAGAGAAGGCUAAUGAUGGCUGAUAUCCUCUCCUUUGAAUCAACCUUUGAUUGCCUUGAGAGGAAGAAGAAGAAGGAGAGAUCUAGGAAGAGGAAACAAAGCUCUUUGCAGCCUUUUCUUUUUCUCCUGCGCUGGACCCAAGAAAGAGGAAGAAGAAGGCCACGCCACCCUUUCUUUUUCUCCCUUUUCUUUUGCAGCUGAAAGGAGGAAGAAGAUGGGAGGUUGCUGCC